Molecule: ribosomal RNA, 395 nt
Filed under: uncultured bacterium
Lineage: Bacteria
Description: partial 16S ribosomal RNA
Rfam family: Bacterial small subunit ribosomal RNA
Source: RNAcentral
AUACGUAGGGUGCAAGCGUUAAUCGGAAUUACUGGGCGUAAAGCGUGCGCAGGCGGUUUUGUAAGACAGAGGUGAAAUCCCCGGGCUCAACCUGGGAACUGCCUUUGUGACUGCAAGGCUAGAGUACGGCAGAGGGGGAUGGAAUUCCGCGUGUAGCAGUGAAAUGCGUAGAUAUGCGGAGGAACACCGAUGGCGAAGGCAAUCCCCUGGGCCUGGACUGACGCUCAUGCACGAAAGCGUGGGGAGCAAACAGGAUUAGAUACCCUGGUAGUCCACGCCCUAAACGAUGUCAACUGGUUGUUGGGGCUUCAUUGACUCAGUAACGAAGCUAACGCGUGAAGUUGACCGCCUGGGGAGUACGGCCGCAAGGUUGAAACUCAAAUGAAUUGACGGGG